UCGUUAGCUCAGUCGGUAGAGCAGUUGACUUUUAAUCAAUGGGUCGUAGGUUCGAGCCGAGCGAAGCGAGACA
Molecule: transfer RNA, 73 nt
Filed under: Photorhabdus luminescens subsp. mexicana
Lineage: Bacteria; Pseudomonadati; Pseudomonadota; Gammaproteobacteria; Enterobacterales; Morganellaceae
Description: Photorhabdus sp. MEX47-22 tRNA-Lys
Rfam family: tRNA (bases 1-65)
About the family: Transfer RNA (tRNA) molecules are approximately 80 nucleotides in length.
Source: RNAcentral